CCCCUCUCCUCACGCACACCGAAACAAUGGUCUCUUCCCUCUUAGGCAGUUCCAGACUUUUUCCCGGACUCCCUCCUGGCUAGCUGUGGUGCACUAGCCCCCUUCAGGCUGUGUUCAUGCAGCCAACCCCAGUUGUCUCCCUGGGAUCUGACCUCCGAAGCCGGAGCCUCAGCUCCCAGCCCCCACCCACCCCGGCGGGUGAGCAGACAAGCCUCUCAGGCUGGAUUGGCAGAGCCGUGCUGAGGACCAUGGCACACGGACUCCUACUGGCGCCAUCCCAGCCCUGGGAGCUAUAGCAUGAUGUAUACCCAGGGGUGGAAUUGCUGGGUCAUUCAUAUGGAGUCCAUUGACAUUUAAAGUGAUUCAUAGGCACAGAGCUAAUCCCAGGGCAAAGCAAUACCAUUAGCCCUGUGACCAACCUUGUUCUUCAUCUCACAGUUGCC
Eubalaena glacialis (North Atlantic right whale) is the source of this 443-nucleotide long non-coding RNA. RefSeq lists it as uncharacterized. The record is from RefSeq and is a predicted model, not a curated record. The transcript is spliced from 5 exons. Lineage: Eukaryota; Metazoa; Chordata; Mammalia; Artiodactyla; Balaenidae.